UUGUAAAUUUUUACAAAGAGAAUUUGAGAUCAGACAGCGGCCAGACAACCGUAGUGAUGAUUUCCACAGAUUAAGAGCUUAAUUUGAUCUCUUUGUCUACUAAAAGCAUCUCACAUUG
Cannabis sativa is the source of this 118-nucleotide small nucleolar RNA. RefSeq annotates it as small nucleolar RNA snoR143. The record is from RefSeq and is a predicted model, not a curated record. Lineage: Eukaryota; Viridiplantae; Streptophyta; Magnoliopsida; Rosales; Cannabaceae. The transcript has a single exon.